UACGGGGGGGGCAAGCGUUGUUCGGAAUUACUGGGCGUAAAGGGCUCGUAGGCGGCCAACUAAGUCAGACGUGAAAUCCCCAGGCUCAACCUGGGAACUGCGUCUGAUACUGGAUGGCUUGAAUCCGGGAGAGGGAUGCAGAAUUCCAGGUGUAGCGGUGAAAUGCGUAGAUAUCUGGAGGAACACCGGUGGCGAAGGCGGCGUCCUGGACCAACACUGACACUGAGGAGCGAAAGCCAGGGGAGCAAACGGG
This 253-nucleotide ribosomal RNA is filed under the name uncultured bacterium. RNAcentral describes it as "partial 16S ribosomal RNA". It matches the Rfam family "Bacterial small subunit ribosomal RNA", at positions 524 to 776 of the family's 1533-position model. The record is from RNAcentral.